This 254-nucleotide ribosomal RNA is filed under the name uncultured bacterium. Its description in RNAcentral is "partial 16S ribosomal RNA". It matches the Rfam family "Bacterial small subunit ribosomal RNA", at positions 524 to 776 of the family's 1533-position model. The record is from RNAcentral.
GACAGAGGUCCCGAGCGUUAGGCGGAAUCACUGGGCUUAAAGCGUGUGUAGGCGGAUUUGUAAGUACCUUGUGAAAAUCCCACGGCUUAACCGUGGAACUGCUUGGUAUACUGCUUAUCUUGGGCCAUCUAGGGGCUACUGGAACAAACGGUGGAGCGGUGAAAUGCGUAGAUAUCGUUUGGAACGCCAAUGGUGAAAACAAGUAGCUGGGGAUGUGCCGACGCUGAGACACGAAAGCCAGGGGAGCAAACGGG